CUCUAUCUCAUUGUAUCUUUUUUGUUUUUUGCUUCGCCUCUACAUCUAUGUCUAUAUAUUUCAGUUGAGGCUGAAAGUAUUGAUUUUGACGUUGGCACUCCUUUCUCGGUGAACACUCUCCAAGUUCAUGGCGGUGAUGAAUCGGCUUCAGGGCAGAAAAUGACUCGAGUGUUCCAACGGCUUUCAGUUUGGGACACAUUAGUCUCGGUGCUCACUUACUACGUUGUUUCUGAACCUCACGGCAAAUUUCCUUGUGGACUGAGCAAACAUUCAGCGAGAGUUAAUAGUUUGAGUAAGGAAGCCAUGAGAUGGAGCUGCAACUUGCCAAUAAGCAUUUGACCAAAUAUUGGAAGCAUUUAUGCAUGUAUAUAUCUGAGGCAUUUGGUUGCAUAAAUGCAAUUUUUCAAAAAUUUUUUAAGACUCAUAUAAUCUAUAUGUGUCAUUUUCCUUCCUCUUUAAUCUUUCAUCCUUCUGCCUGGCGAUCAGAUGUCACCGUGUAUCCGCUGCUAAAGACUUGCUUUCUGCGAGAGGAAGAUUCCUAGUUGGGAGCCAAAGAGUCACAAUCUCAUGACAUCACAUUGACUUGUUUACACUUUCCUACACUCGCUGCAAAAGGAACUCUGCUGUGCUUCUAGCGACUUUAAUUUGCUGCAGCUUCGUAUUCUCUCCCUGUGCUUUAAGAGCUUUCUGAUGUGUGUGGCAUGAUGUAAUUAAAUGAAAGUUUGUAUGCAUUUCACUUGCAAGACAAAAAUGGGGGGAAAGCAAAUUGUUUUAAUUUUCGGUGCGAGUCGUGAGCAAUUUGGUAAAUGAACUCAAAAGUUAUGCUUCUAUUUCCUUUAAUUUUCCUCUGAGUGGGGCUGAUUGUUGGCAUUAUUCUGAUCUACGCAUCUUCAGUAACCUGGUUCACACUGAGGACAAACAGGCAUGUGAAUCCAGUCAAAAAAAAAAAAAAAAAAAAAAAACACGAGCUUCUGCGUGUGUGGCUUUAGAGGUCAUUCAGCUUUAAUCAGACACGGGACCGGAGUUCAGGCCUUGAAAGCAGAUAUCCAGGAACACACCCGUGCACAGACAUGCAUCGCUUUACUCCCUCAGACACCCACAGACAUCUUCCAGGACCCGCCAGAUGCCGGGGCCUCGGCUAAUUGAAGUGAGCUCAUUGAUUGGCUGGUCAUCUGAGACAGAAAGCGCUUAGAAAUCUAAGCCAGUGGCCACAGGGAGAUGAUAAAGUCUGAGUGUCUGGUACAGAGUCACGUUUGGGACUUUGCGGCCACUGACAGCAGGCUGGGCGUGCGUGUUUUUUAUUAGUUUACAUUGUCUUGUGAACAUAUUUAUUACCCUUUGACUUUUUCCACAUUUUGGCACUCCGUAGCCACGAACCUGGUUGCAUUUUAUUUUCAGGUUUAUGUGGUGCACCAGCGCAAAGCGGUGCAUGCUUUCGGAGGGGAAGGAAAACGAUGCAUGUUUCUCAGACUCAUUAAAAUAAAUAAAUAAAAAUAAUGUAACCACCCUUUUAUUCUGAUAUUCAUAAUCGGCAUCCAUUAUAAGCAACUACCCUGGGAAGUCAGCAAGUAAGAUCUGUAUGUAAUGGAGAAGUUUCUUAUAUUAAAGGGCACAACAACCAAAACAUUGCAAAAUUAAAACCAUUGUCCCCAUAGGGAGGCAUGGCAGUGGCUGCAUAGUGCUCUGAGAAUGGGAAGGUAAAUUAUGUAGAGUUGAUUACAGUAUAGAGCUAAAAAAAAAAAGGUAAUUAUGAUAGAAAACCUGUUUAACUGUAAAGGAUAUUACAAUGGGUUAAUUUUGGUUAAAAGAAAUUCAUCUAAUUUGAAAGGCCCAGUCAAAGUCCACGUCUAAAUCCAGUUCAUUUGUGGCAAAAUUGAAAAACUGAUGCUCACAGAUGCCAUCCAUUCAGACAAUUUUUGCAAGUUUGAUAAACUUCUAUCAUUCUUCCUCCACUUCAAAUAUUUUCCCCUUUGUGUUCGUCUGACACAUAAAACGCUUAAAAAAUACGUCAAUAUUUGUGGUUCUAAUUGGUAUGAAAAUGUGGAAAGUAGUAUGAACACUUUUUACGAGGAAAUGUACAGUAGCUGGCUAUAAGUACCUCCGCAAAAACCUGCUUCAGAUCUGAUGAGCACCUCCGCCGCCCCGAGAAAUGAUGUGAACGCGAGCGCAAGAACGAUGUCACGUUCUCAUUGUGCGAUCUUAAUUCCCCCGACUGCAUCCGAUGAGGCGUAUUCCCAUUUGCAUUCCGCCUUAGAACAAGGCUUUAAAGUACUUUUCAAGCCCAAUUUAGAAGCAAACUUUUCAAAUUAAGGCUACUUUAUGGUAAUGAGGUGGGAGCAGUGUGAAUUGUAAGUCCAUCUGGUGGAAAUGUGAGUGAGAAAAUGGAUCAGAGGCGCUCGCUGCCCUCUUAACUGCUUCAAAGCAGGCGCACAUCCAGUCUGAACCCCGCAUUGUCCGACGGGGGGUAAUGACUGCGUGCAAGACUCGCCUGUGAAUUUUCCGAGCGCGCUGCUGAAUUUCUUUGAAACGGUGAAGUUGCAGCCACUCGAAACGUGAGGGGCGAAGUUGAUUGUGUGACUUGCUCAAGGGUUGGAAUCUAAGGUAAUCAUACUGUCCUCUUUUUCCAAUGUAUUAUCUUUUAGAGUAUCCUUUUUUUUUAUUCCAGUGGGGGAGCGAAAUUUAGCCUGUUGCCCAAGGGAUUUAAUCACAAUGGAAUGCAUGUCAAGUCUUGUGGGAAACCAUCAGAAGUAGGUCCACGCUCCAUUUUGAAAUCUUUUUUUUUGUGCUACUUGUACCCUUGUCACAUUUGCUUGCAACAAACUCCAUUGAGUUGCUAAUGGAGUCUUGUAGCAUUUCUGUUGUUCUGUAGUGGAACAAACAAGCCCAGAUUUUUUCCACCCAGUCUUCCUCCGUCUCCUCUUGGAGUGAAUCAGUGCAUGUUGCUGUUUUGCUUUUUGUGUGUGUGUGUGUGUGUGAGAGGAAGGCUUGAUUUAAAAGCUGCUGCGGGGGACUUCCUCCUUUCCUGAUUGCCGAUGCCACGAAAACAUUCAUGGUAGCGCACACAAACACAUCUGCGCUCCCUUUCGACGCACGAGCUCCGCAACAGAAAAAAGAGCAUCUCUGUCCAAGUGUGCGGAAAUGUGUGUGUGUCUUUUCUGUGUGGGUGGCUAGCUGCGCUACUGGGGGGGG
This is a long non-coding RNA of Poecilia latipinna (sailfin molly), 3189 nucleotides long. RefSeq lists it as uncharacterized. NCBI's taxonomy places the organism in Eukaryota, Metazoa, Chordata, Actinopteri, Cyprinodontiformes, Poeciliidae. The transcript is spliced from 2 exons. The record is from RefSeq and is a predicted model, not a curated record.